Molecule: ribosomal RNA, 442 nt
Filed under: uncultured bacterium
Lineage: Bacteria
Description: partial 16S ribosomal RNA
Rfam family: Bacterial small subunit ribosomal RNA
Source: RNAcentral
CCUACGGGAGGCAGCAGUAGGGAAUCUUUCACAAUGGGCGAAAGCCUGAUGGAGCAACGCCGCGUGCAGGAUGAAGGCCUUCGGGUUGUAAACUGCUUUUAUAAGCGAGAAAUAUGAUGGUAACUUAUGAAUAAGGAUCGGCUAACUACGUGCCAGCAGCCGCGGUCAUACGUAGGAUCCGAGCAUUAUCCGGAGUGACUGGGUGUAAAGAGUUGCGUAGGUGGCAUAAUAAGUAGCUAGUGAAAUCUGGUGGCUCAACCAUUCAGACUAUUAGCUAAACUGUUAAGCUCGAGACCGUGAGGGGUAACUGGAAUUUCUAGUGUAGGAGUGAAAUGCGUAGAUAUUAGAAGGAACACCAAUAGCGUAGGCAGGUUACUGGGACGGUUCUGACACUAAGGCACGAAAGCGUAGGGAGCAAACGGGAUUAGAUACCCUAGUAGUC